Phalacrocorax carbo (great cormorant) is the source of this 1993-nucleotide non-coding RNA. The record is from RefSeq and is a predicted model, not a curated record. NCBI's taxonomy places the organism in Eukaryota, Metazoa, Chordata, Aves, Suliformes, Phalacrocoracidae.
UCACCCCACCGACGUGCCUGACUCACACCGUAAAAUGGACGAGUUCCCGGGAUUGGCUGCGCCCGGCCGCCCGCUCCUCCCUCCGCCCCGGCUGCUCCCGCCUCCCGCCACUGCCUCCGUCCCUCGCCGCCUCCUCCCCGGCGGGCCGCGCUCCCCUCUCCCUCGCCCCGACCUCGGCUUCCUCCUGCCUGUUGCCUCUGCUUUCGCCCGGCGGCUCCCCUUCCUCCUCCUCCUCCUCCUCCUCCUGCUCCUCGCAGCGCCCGCGGUUCGCCCGGCCGCCCCCGCCCUCCCCUCAGUGCCACCGGCGGCGAGGAGGCGAAGGGCCCGAGGGACUUCGCCGCUCUCCGCGCUGCUCGGGCCCGGCGUGCCCGCCUGUCACCGCCGUGCUGCUCCCAGGCCCGGUUCCACGGGCGGCCUUAACUUGAUAAACUAGUUUCUCAAGCGCUGUGGCAGCAGGUGGUAGUCGGCCAAGAAAUUGCAGUGGCCUGCCUCUUACCCGCGCACCAUAAAAGGCCGAAGUUGUGAGGGUUUUCAGCUCAGCUGCAGUCGAAGCAUGGGGUGAUGCGAAGCUGAAGGGGACAGAAUGAAAUAUUAAAAUAGUCUUGAUCAUUCAGAAGCAUGUUUUUAAAAAAAAAAAAAUAAAGAAGAUAUUCAGUGAGAUCAAGUUGCAUCCAGCACGUUACACUGGUAUGAGGCACCUGGUGUAAAUCAUUGCUGCCUUUCCUUUUCCCCUUGCUACUUAUUUUCUCUCUCACUGUCUGUUGUGGUUUAACCCCAGCCAGCAGCUCUGCCCCACGCAGCUGCUCACUCGCCUCCCCCCGGUGGGGUGGGGGAGAGAAUCGGAAGGGUAAAAGUGAGAAAGCUCGUCGGGUGAGAUAAAGACAGUUUAACAGGUAAAGCAAAACCCGUGCACACAAGCAAACAAAAUGAGGAAUUCAUGCCGCCCUUCCCACAGGCAGGCAGGUACUCAGCCACCCCCAGAAGAUCAGGGCUCCAUCACGCGUAACGGUGGCUUGGGAAGACAAACACCAUCGCUCCAAAUGCCCCCCCUUCCCCCAGCUCUAUAUGCUGAGCAUGACGCCAUGUGGUGUGGGACAUCCCUGGAGUCAGCUGGGGUCACUGUCCCAGCCAUGUCCCCUCCCAGCUCCUUGUGCACCCCCAGCUCCUCACUGGUGGGGUGGGGUGAGGGGCAGAAAAGGCCUUGGCUCUGUGCAAGCCCUGCUCAGCAGGAAUGAAAACAUCCCCUUGUUAUCAACACUGUCUCCAGCACAACUCCACAGCCCCAACCGCUAUGAAGAAAAUUAACUCUACCCAAGUCAAACCCAGCACGUUCUCCAUCCCUUUUCCUGCUCCCCACCCCCUGAGAUGUUUAUCUGCCUGCCAGAUUAAACCACAAUGCUGUCUUAUGCCAGCAUAAGCUUUUCUGGGGCUAUGUGGUUGACUGUAUGAGAAAGCUGAGUAACAUUACAAUUAUAAUUCCAGAGGUUGUCAUAACCUGGGGCACUUAGCUGAUCUAUUUGAUGCUAGUCUGGGUCAUAGUGAUGGAUGAGCUGACCUGCUGAUUUCUUGUUUUUCUGUGAUUUUCCACUCAUUAGAAAGAAGGAACAUAGUUGAUAUAAAAGUGGACAUCCUAGUACGAUUGAUAUUUCUUUGCAACAGCACAAUAUCAUUAGUUCGCGUUCAGAUUGUCAUCCACUAUAAAUCUGGAAGGUCUGGUUUUCUGAUCUUGAUCUGCUGGGUGGCUCAGGCACACUUCCUUCAUUCUCUCUGUUUCAGUUUCUUCAGCGUUUUUGAAAAGUACUCUGAAAUCUGUGAAUAAGAAUUUAGUAUUAUUGACUGAACAGUAUACUGUUGCUCUUUUCUGUUUGUCAAUCAUUUUUUCUCAUCCUUUCACUAAUUGAGGCUCUUCCUAAGAUCCAUUGUAAACAUAUAUAUCUCCUAUGUCAAUAGAAAUGGUUCUCUAAAAGCAAUAAAUUCCUGUAACUAAAAUGUU